Molecule: ribosomal RNA, 262 nt
Filed under: Streptomyces nanshensis
Lineage: Bacteria; Bacillati; Actinomycetota; Actinomycetes; Kitasatosporales; Streptomycetaceae
Description: partial 16S ribosomal RNA
Rfam family: Bacterial small subunit ribosomal RNA
Source: RNAcentral
GCAUGUGGCUUAAUUCGACGCAACGCGAAGAACCUUACCAAGGCUUGACAUACACCGGAAAGCUCUGGAGACAGAGCCCCCCUUGUGGUCGGUGUACAGGUGGUGCAUGGCUGUCGUCAGCUCGUGUCGUGAGAUGUUGGGUUAAGUCCCGCAACGAGCGCAACCCUUGUCUCGUGUUGCCAGCAGGCCCUUGUGGUGCUGGGGACUCACGGGAGACUGCCGGGGUCAACUCGGAGGAAGGUGGGGACGACGUCAAGUCAUC